RNAcentral lists this transfer RNA (102 nucleotides) under Agromyces flavus. RNAcentral's name for it is "tRNA-Ala". The record is from RNAcentral. Lineage: Bacteria; Bacillati; Actinomycetota; Actinomycetes; Micrococcales; Microbacteriaceae.
GGUCGGCUGCGGCGUGGCGGGCUCGGUGCUCGCCGCCUUGCGCGCCUCGCGGGCGGCGUUCGCGAGCUCGGCCCGCAGCGUCCGCAUCGCGGAGUCGACCUC